RNAcentral lists this ribosomal RNA (699 nucleotides) under uncultured Bacteroidales bacterium. RNAcentral's name for it is "bacterial SSU rRNA". It matches the Rfam family "Bacterial small subunit ribosomal RNA", at positions 29 to 715 of the family's 1533-position model. Lineage: Bacteria; Pseudomonadati; Bacteroidota; Bacteroidia; Bacteroidales. The record is from RNAcentral.
AUAACGCUAGCUACAGGCUUAACACAUGCAAGUCGAGGGGCAGCAUGGUCUUAGCUUGCUAAGGCUGAUGGCGACCGGCGCACGGGUGAGUAACACGUAUCCAACCUGCCGUCUACUCUUGGCCAGCCUUCUGAAAGGAAGAUUAAUCCAGGAUGGGAUCAUGAGUUCACAUGUCCGCAUGAUUAAAGGUAUUUUCCGGUAGACGAUGGGGAUGCGUUCCAUUAGAUAGUAGGCGGGGUAACGGCCCACCUAGUCAACGAUGGAUAGGGGUUCUGAGAGGAAGGUCCCCCACAUUGGAACUGAGACACGGUCCAAACUCCUACGGGAGGCAGCAGUGAGGAAUAUUGGUCAAUGGGCGAUGGCCUGAACCAGCCAAGUAGCGUGAAGGAUGACUGCCCUACGGGUUGUAAACUUCUUUUAUAAAGGAAUAAAGUCGGGUAUGCAUACCCGUUUGCAUGUACUUUAUGAAUAAGGAUCGGCUAACUCCGUGCCAGCAGCCGCGGUAAUACGGAGGAUCCGAGCGUUAUCCGGAUUUAUUGGGUUUAAAGGGAGCGUAGAUGGAUGUUUAAGUCAGUUGUGAAAGUUUGCGGCUCAACCGUAAAAUUGCAGUUGAUACUGGAUGUCUUGAGUGCAGUUGAGGCAGGCGGAANUUCGUGGUGUAGCGGUGAAAUGCUUAGAUAUCACGAANAACUCCGAUUG